GGAUUGUAGUCUGCAACCCGACUACAUGAAGCUGGAAUCGCUAGUAAUCGCGAAUCAGCAUGUCGCGGUGAAUACGUUCCCGGGUCUUGUACACACCGCCCGUCACACCAUGGGAGUUGGUAACGCCCGAAGCCAGUGACCCAACCGGAAACGGAGGGAGCUGUCGAAGGUGGGACCGAUAACUGGGGUGAAGUCGUAACAAGGUAGC
Molecule: ribosomal RNA, 208 nt
Filed under: uncultured bacterium
Lineage: Bacteria
Description: partial 16S ribosomal RNA
Rfam family: Bacterial small subunit ribosomal RNA
Source: RNAcentral